This is a long non-coding RNA of Alligator mississippiensis (American alligator), 2194 nucleotides long. RefSeq lists it as uncharacterized. The record is from RefSeq and is a predicted model, not a curated record. Lineage: Eukaryota; Metazoa; Chordata; Crocodylia; Alligatoridae. The transcript is spliced from 4 exons.
AAAGAGGAAGUGAGGAGAGAAAAGGAUAUGGAGAGGUAAUGGUUUGGUGAAGAGUGAGGUUUUCUGUAAGGAGGAAGGAAGACUGGAGACCUUCCUCCUGUACUACAGGCAGUCCUGGACUUACAACAAACAUCACUUACAACCUUUUGUAAACUACGACAGUUUCAAGGUUCCAACAGGUGUCCAGUGUCGUAAAGUCGAAACCAACUGCCUCUACCUGUAUGAAGAACAUCAUAAUCCAACCCCGAACUCUGGAGAAGCCAAGACCAUACAACAGUGUAUAUUAAAAGCUACCAAACUAGUGGUGCCUCUUGCACAUAUUUAAUGCUUUAACACCUGAGCCCUAAUGGAAAAACAUAGCAAAAUAUCCUAAAAAUAUAUGUAGCUAGGGCACACACAAGCCUAGGAAGAGAAGAUGCCUGAUCAGUAGCAUCUUCUGCAAAGAUUGGGCUUGUGAAGCAGCUAAAGAAAAGAGCUGUCAGCACCUCAGGCAGUGUGGGAUGGCUCAAUUAAAAGAGGACUACUCUUGGGACAUGCUGCCAUCAUCUGCUGCAGAAAAAACAAAGGUUUUGUCCCAGAAUGUCUUUCUCCUGCUCCGUGUCUGCCCCAGGAAGGAGGAUGCACUUGGUGUUGUCUCUGGAGUAAGGCCUUGCUACAGCUGUCAGUGUGAAGUGAUUAUUCUGUGAUUGUUCUAGAAAUGCAUUCAACAAGCACAAGAUUCCUCAAAGUUUUCUCUUAUAAUAAUAAAGAAAACUAUAAAAGCAAGCUGAUCAGAAAACCAGUUAGAGGAGAUUUUCAUCUCAUGACUUUAUCAUACAUAAUGAUGAUUUUAAUAAAUUCUAACUAGCAGAAUUGGAAUUAUUUUGCCAGUUUGAUGUUAGCUAUUGUGGUCAUUUCCACAUUGGGUGUUUUUUUGUUUGUUUUAAGUAUGAAUAUGUUCCACAUCCAGAACUAAAAAGUAGGGUUCAAAGAUUUUCACGUUGUGUUUAUGGCAUGUAACACUCUAACCUGUGGCCAUUUUAGAUUAGAUUACAGCAAUUUAUACACAUAGUCUUUUGCAAGGCAACGUGCUGGAGAUUGUGUGUCAGAGCAGACUAGAUCAAUCCAGUCUGCUCUGUGUGCGAGCUGACACACACUGCACUGCAUUACUUGCAGUUGUAUAAGCGGCAAAAUCCACAUCGGCAUGGAAAAGAUGGUGGCGGUACACUUGUGACCUAAAACACCUUUGUGUGUUAGUUCAAAAGUGGAGCACCACCAUUUUCUGCAUGCUGAUGGAUGUUUUGCCGCUUAUACAACUGUGUACGCGUUGCAACGUUAGGUGUUUUUCAAAGGUUUUUGGUUUUGGAUUUUACACCUUUUACUUUGUAACCUGCAUGCUAUUCAUUAUUCUAUGCCAGGACUACCAGAUAUUCUAUAUCCAUAUGAAUUUUGUCAAAAAAAGUAAGAGAUCAGAAGCUACAAAGAACAGGUGAAACAUUGAUAGUUGCUGUUCUUAAAAGGUUGUGAUUAGUUGGGCAUUGAGAAUUUAGCACAAAGAACACUUUAUUGGUGUUUAAUGUAGCAGCAUCUAUAAUGUAUUGACUUUUAGUGCAGUCACCAUGGUAAACAAAACGUUCUUUUUUCCUUUGUUUGUUAAUAUUAGAGAAGAGAUGCAGAAACUUCAUUCUAGGGGUUCAUGAAGAAAUUCAUAUUUCAUAGCAGAAACCUACACUUGUAUCUCCAUUUUCUGUCUUGGGUUCUGUCACAUAAGCAACAAAUCAACCGGAAUAAUUUGUCCCAUCAAAAGGACAUCAAAACUAGGCUCUGUUAAUGAGUAGAAAUAAAGAGUUUUUCAGCUGCGCACAGUUCUUGGAGAACAUCACAAUCUUUUAGAGAAGAGUGAUUGAUGACAUCUAUUAAUGAUUCUCAUGACUGAUUGUGCUAGAUGCCAUACAUAUAUACCAAGGAAGUCUCUGCCUCAAAGCUUAGAAUCAAAAUAAGUAAGAUUGAAAGAAGAAUUAAUUGAAAUGAAACCCACAAGUUCACAAAGGAAGUCUGUUUUAGAGCCAGGAGUUACACAAGAUCUCAAGAGAUCUUGGGAUAUGGCCUGAAGCAUAAGACUAGCUAUCCUUUAUAGCAUCACUAAAACAAGGUGAUAAAGAUUCUUGCUAGCUGUAUGCAAAAAGAUAAAUAAAUAAAUGAUUGUUUCCCUUUA